This 497-nucleotide ribosomal RNA is filed under the name uncultured bacterium. RNAcentral describes it as "partial 16S ribosomal RNA". It matches the Rfam family "Bacterial small subunit ribosomal RNA", at positions 28 to 507 of the family's 1533-position model. The record is from RNAcentral.
GAUGAACGCUGGCGGCGUGCCUAAUACAUGCAAGUCGAGCGAACGGACGAGAAGCUUGCUUCUCUGAUGUUAGCGGCGGACGGGUGAGUAACACGUGGGUAACCUACCUAUAAGACUGGGAUAACUUCGGGAAACCGGAGCUAAUACCGGAUAAUAUUUUGAACCGCAUGGUUCAAAAGUGAAAGACGGUCUUGCUGUCACUUAUAGAUGGAUCCGCGCUGCAUUAGCUAGUUGGUAAGGUAACGGCUUACCAAGGCAACGAUGCAUAGCCGACCUGAGAGGGUGAUCGGCCACACUGGAACUGAGACACGGUCCAGACUCCUACGGGAGGCAGCAGUAGGGAAUCUUCCGCAAUGGGCGAAAGCCUGACGGAGCAACGCCGCGUGAGUGAUGAAGGUCUUCGGAUCGUAAAACUCUGUUAUUAGGGAAGAACAUAUGUGUAAGUAACUGUGCACACCUUGACGGUACCUAAUCAGAAAGCCACGGCUAACUACGUG